Molecule: microRNA precursor, 95 nt
Organism: Bos grunniens (domestic yak)
Lineage: Eukaryota; Metazoa; Chordata; Mammalia; Artiodactyla; Bovidae
Source: Ensembl
UCUUGUAUUGGUUUAACCAAAAAGUUCAUUCAGGUUUUUCAGUAAGAUGCUGUGGAAAAACCUGAACAAGCUUUUUGGCCAACCCAAUAUAAUGA